CCUGCUUCUAGAAACAUUGCAGGUGUGACCCUGUGUCACAUGUGUGUCACUAGGUGGCACAGAGGAGAGAGGCUGUGUCCUAUGCUCAGUGCUCUGACCUAUGAUAUUCAUAGGUCAACAACUUUCCCUG
Molecule: non-coding RNA, 130 nt
Organism: Arvicanthis niloticus (Nile rat)
Lineage: Eukaryota; Metazoa; Chordata; Mammalia; Rodentia; Muridae
Source: RefSeq, a predicted model, not a curated record